This 33-nucleotide ribosomal RNA is filed under the name Cladophialophora emmonsii. RNAcentral describes it as "partial 28S ribosomal RNA". The record is from RNAcentral. Lineage: Eukaryota; Fungi; Ascomycota; Eurotiomycetes; Chaetothyriales; Herpotrichiellaceae.
GCACGUGUGUGGGAAACUUUCUCUAGGUUGACC